This 4290-nucleotide long non-coding RNA is filed under the name Gossypium barbadense (sea-island cotton). Its description in RNAcentral is "long non-coding RNA (GBAR_LNC012026)". The record is from RNAcentral. Lineage: Eukaryota; Viridiplantae; Streptophyta; Magnoliopsida; Malvales; Malvaceae.
GGUGGGCAAAUAAAGUAAGCAAGCAACAGCACCGAGGGCGGAUGGGAGGAAAGAGUAAGCAGGAAGGUUGAGAUCGGAGGCCACUUCGAAUGCUGCGCUGGUGCAGAAGAAGUCAACGAUAAUGGCGUUGAGUGUGUAGUUAUUGGAGAUGGUGAGAAGGGUGCGGCGGACAUCGGGGUUACUGAGGCGGAUGACGUCGAAGAGAAGGGGAUCUAAGCCAGUUGAGGUUAGAAGGAGGUCGACGGUGGGGAGGUAGUGGAAGGUGAUGGAAGGAGGAACGGGGGAGGGGACGGUGGAGGAAGGUUGUGAAGGAAGGGUGGCGAUGAGGAUGUGGAUAGAAAGGGAAGGGUGGUGAGUGAGGAGGAGCUUGGCGAACUCUACCAUGGGUGCCAGGUGAGUAAGCAUAGGUGCUGGGUACAUAACUAUGGCUUCCUCCAUUAGUGAUAGUGAAAAUUGGAGAAUGACACAAUGUAUAUAUAAAUCAUCAAGAAAACAUUUGGUGGAUAUGGGGUUUUUAUUUUUUAAAUGUGCUAUUACUCCUUGUAAGUUCAUAAAAUUUUAGAUUUAGUGCCUCGGUUAAAAAAAUUAAAAAUCAAGUUUUUUAUUUAAAAAUAUUAAUCUAGUCAUUAUAAUCGUACUUAAUUUUUGUCAAUUUUAUCAGCUUAAAAAUUUGAUUAAACUGUUAUGACAUGACAUAUAAUUAACAUAAAAUAAAUAUGUUAAAUUUACAAAUUUUAAUAAAUAAUGAACUAAAAUUUUAAAUUGAAAAAAAAUAAGAGGAUUAAUUUUUUAUCUUUUAAAGUAUAAGGGCCAAAUCUCAAAUUAUAUAAAAGUAACGAGACUAGCAACACAUUUUAACCUCUUCUUUCUGAAGUUACGACCGUAUUAACCCUUCCAUUUUGAAUAGACCGGUUUCUAAUUACACGUUUAACUUUUUAAUUAAUUUUUAAAUAAUGUAUUUUUAAUUCUUAUAAUUGAUUUUUAAUUAAUUCUUCAUAAUUAAAAUAUAUAAUAAUUUAAAUAUAAUUAUUAUUUUUAAAUAUCGUAUUAGUAGAUCAGUAAAGUUUUUAAUAAUAUUAAAAAAAAUUCAAAUUAUAAUUAAAAUAUUUAUACUAUUUUUAGUAUAUAAUAUAAUUUUUACUUCAUGUAAUCAUUAUUUAAACUAAUAGUUAAUAAUUUUUAUUAAAAUAUAUUAAUUAUUUCAAUAAUUCAAAUAUAGCACUAAUAAAAAAUUCUUAUUAUUAAAGCAUUUGUACAAACACUAGAAAAUUGGAAUAUUGUAAAAUAAACUCUUCACCUUUCAAUUUUUCUUUUUAUUUUCUUAAUGGUCAAUAAAUUAAUUAUAAUAAAUUUUAAAUAAUAUAUAAUUAAUAUGUAGCAAAAAAAUAAACAAAAAUUUUUUUUAAAAAUGAUUAUAAUUCUAAAAUAAAUUAUGUCAAAAUUUACUUUAAUUAUAAUUAUUUUAACUAAACCUUUUUAAAUAAUAAAUGUAAAUUACAUGUUAAUUUAAUAAUAUAAUAGAAAAUAAAAAAUAUUUUCAUUAAUUCAAACACUUUUUUUAAAUGGAUGCUUUUAUAUAUAUUAUAAGUAAUUACAUGUACAAACUCAACUGUUAAGUAAACAUAAACUAACUAUUUAUUAUCAGAAUAAAUUUAAUUUAAAAUUUAUAUAUUAUAGAAUAAAACUCGAAUUUAAAAUCUCAAUUUUUCAAUGCCUCGAUGAUUGAACCAUGACUGAAACAUAAUUUAAAAUCUUCACUAAAAUUGAAUUUUUUUAUAUUUAUUUGAUUUGAUUCAUUCAUUGGUUAUUGAGUUGUUGAUAUUGAUUUGAAUUGUUUUGAAUGUUGGCUGCUACUUUAAGGAUCUUACUGAACUGAGAUCGAGUGUACUUGACGGAUCAACUAUAGCACUUCACCCAACCCUUCGUUCAACAUGAGAUUAGUUGCUGGAAUGACAGUCAAUAACCCAAAUUUCAGCUACUUCAGAUACGGAACGACGAGUGUUGUGGUAAACAAGUUGGGCGGCUUUAGGCCCAAGAGCAAGAGUUACAACAAAAAUUAGGGCUCAAUAUUAAUUUCAUUAUAGUUUGUUAUAAUAUUUGUUUUUUUUUUCAUACAAGGUCUAAAUCCUGAUUUUUUUAUUGAAAUAAAUUAAAAAAAUUAUAUAUUAAAAUAGGUUGUCAGCUAGAUUAUUUACUAAAAUAGGUUUUUUUUAUUCGCGUCUAUAUACAGGCGUGACUCUUUUUUUAAAUAUUAAAAUAUAAUUUUUUAAAUAAAAUAUUGUUUUUUUAUUUUUAUUAAAAAUAUUUAAAUUUAUAUAUAUGUAAAAAUACAAUCAACAAGUCAAAAUACGAGUAAAAAAUACACGAGAAUGGGUCGUGCCUGUCAGAUAGGCGCGACUAAUCGUGCCUGACAGGUAGGCGCAAAUGGUACUGUUCCGCAUAUUGCACAAACAGCCCCCCGCGUGCCAGCUGCUGCUACUACUGUAGACUCAUUUCAUAUUUUUUUAUAUCAACUUGGAUAUAAAUUUGUUCAAGUUUAAUCAUAACAGACUCUUUUCAUAAAUUUAUAUACUUUAUAAAAUUAUUUUUAUAAAAAAAUGAUUGUAGAAAUAUUGAAGAAUAUAAAUCAAGUAUUAACAUACCAAUACUUAAUAAUAACUUUAAAAAAAUUAAGAAAUUGAUAAUAAUACAUUAAUAGUAUCGAUUAAAAGCGUUUCUCAAAUCCCAUAAUUAAGAAAUAUUUUGAACAUAGGAGUAGAGUUUUGGCUGUGUGAAAAAAUAUGAGAUAUGAAUAUUUAUAUCUACAAUAACAAGUAGAAUAUGAAUCUUCGAAUUCCAUUUAAUGCACUGUUGAUUCUAAGUAUGAAUUAAGAUAUUGACAAAUACUUUUAUUAAAAUUAUUUAAAAUUUAAUUAAAAAAUUUAACACCCACAGAUAUCAAUGUUGUGUUUAGUUUAGUAUCUGGUGAAUUUAAGAUUAAGUUAUAAAUUAUUUAACACCCACAAAUAUCAAUGUUUCUAGUGUUUUGUAUUUUUUUAAUAUAAUUUUUAUAUAAUGUAAUUUUAUUUGAUUUUUUAUUUUUAUUGACAAUUUUUGCGGUAUAUAUAAGGGAAAAAAUAAGCAACAGACGCUCUUGUGGGCCCCACCAUUUGCGCCUCUGAGAUAGGCACAAUUAAUUGCGCCUCUAAAAAAGGCUCAACUAGUCGCGCCUUUGAGAUAGACGCAACCUGUAUUUGUAUCUAUACACAGGUCAUACUGAUCCGAAAAUAAAAAAUAAUAUUUUAUUUAAUAAAACAAAAAAAUAUAUUUUUAAUAUAAAAAAAAGAAUCGCACCUAUCAAAUAGGCAAGAAUAAAAAAAACGACUCAUUUUAAUAAAUAAUCUAACUGACAAUCUAUUUUGGUAUAUAAUUUUUUUUAAUUUAUUUCAGUAAAAAAUCCGUCUAAACCCACUCAUAGUUUUUCUCCAUCUCUUAAAUAGCAGGAUAAAAUAUUUCAACUUAUUCGAACUCACGACCUCCUAUAAUGACAACAAUACUAACACUAAUCGAAUUAAGAUUCAAUCCACAACAAAAAUAACAACCGGUUCUGUCCGAGUCAUUUCAGCUUCCAUGACUCUAAAAGUUUGACUAGCGCAGUACGAGAGGAACCUCCCUCACUCGUCGCUACCUCGGCUGCACGUUUCAUAUCUAACGUUCGCUGCCUAACUGAGUCACUUUCUUGCGACUCAAUCAACUCUUUGACUCGCUUCUCCACCUCAGUUGAACACACGAACCCCGUUUCCGACUCCACCAUCGGCAAUGCGAUCUUCAUUUCUUCUACCAUCAACACCCUAUUGAGCCUUUGUUCUGCAUGAAGUGGCCAGGCCAACAUUGGAACCCCUGCACACACCGAUUCCAGCACCGAGUUCCAGCCGCAGUGAGUUAUGAAUCCACCAAUCGAGUCGUGAUUCAACACGGCUGUUUGAGGUGCCCAUGAUUUGACUACCAGUCCCCUCUCUUUGGUCCUCUCCAAGAACCCUUGAGGAAGCAAUGAAUUCAAAUCUUGGUCCAAGCUUUGGUCCUCUAAUGGUGGGUUCUUCAGCACCCACAAGAAUCUCUGCCCACUGCUCUCUAAUCCAACAGCUAUUUCUUUUAUUUGUUGCAUUGAGAACGAACCCGAGCUACCAAAACAAAGAAACACUACGCUUUUACUAGGUUGUGAGUCUAGCCACUUUAAGCAAUAAGGAACAUCGCCGCCGUCUGCGGUGGAGUAGGCAAUGGAAGGUCCAAUGCAGUAAAGGGGAGGCGUGG